UGGGGAAUAUUGGACAAUGGGCGAAAGCCUGAUCCAGCCAUGCCGCGUGUGUGAAGAAGGUCUUCGGAUUGUAAAGCACUUUAAGUUGGGAGGAAGGGCAUUGACCUAAUACGUUGGUGUCUUGACGUUACCGACAGAAUAAGCACCGGCUAACUCUGUGCCAGCAGCCGCGGUAAUACAGAGGGUGCAAGCGUUAAUCGGAAUUACUGGGCGUAAAGCGCGCGUAGGUGGUUUGUUAAGUUGAAUGUGAAAUCACCGGGCUCAACCUGGGAACUGCAUUCAAAUGUGACUGACGAGAGUAUGGUAGAGGGUGGUGGAACUUCCUGUGUAGCGGUGAAGUGCGUAGAUAUAGGAAGGAACACCAGUGGCGAAGGCGACCACCUAGACUGAUACUGACACUGAGGUGCGAAAGCGUGGGGAGCAAACA
RNAcentral lists this ribosomal RNA (427 nucleotides) under uncultured bacterium. RNAcentral describes it as "bacterial SSU rRNA". It matches the Rfam family "Bacterial small subunit ribosomal RNA", at positions 355 to 774 of the family's 1533-position model. The record is from RNAcentral.